Molecule: ribosomal RNA, 301 nt
Filed under: uncultured bacterium
Lineage: Bacteria
Description: partial 16S ribosomal RNA
Rfam family: Bacterial small subunit ribosomal RNA
Source: RNAcentral
CAGCCGCCGCGGGAAAACAGAGGGUGCAAGCGUUAAUCGGAAUUACUGGGCGUAAAGCGCGCGUAGGUGGUUUGUUAAGUUGGAUGUGAAAUCCCCGGGCUCAACCUGGGAACUGCAUCCAAAACUGGCAAGCUAGAGUAUGGUAGAGGGUGGUGGAAUUUCCUGUGUAGCGGUGAAAUGCGUAGAUAUAGGAAGGAACACCAGUGGCGAAGGCGACCACCUGGACUGAUACUGACACUGAGGUGCGAAAGCGUGGGGAGCAAACAGGAUUAGAUACCCCUGUAGUCCCUGUCUCUUAUAC